This is a long non-coding RNA of Xiphias gladius (swordfish), 1067 nucleotides long. RefSeq lists it as uncharacterized. Lineage: Eukaryota; Metazoa; Chordata; Actinopteri; Istiophoriformes; Xiphiidae. The transcript is spliced from 3 exons. The record is from RefSeq and is a predicted model, not a curated record.
AACAGAGCAGGCAAAAGACUGAGAACAUGACUUCACACAGAUGUCACCUUGUCUUUAUUUAGGAGCUGGAUACGUAAAAUAAUCCAGCUGACAGACCAUUCUGACAGUUUUUAGCCAACUGAUUAAGUGACUGACUGCGCCGUCUGACGAGAAAAGUUGUCGCUAUUGAGAAAAUGCUAGUCUUCCGAUAGCAGGGAUUUAUUACAAGAUCCGCACAUUUGGCCUAAUGUGAUGCGCAGAGGCCUCCUCCCUCGCAGCAGCUGUUGAAAACGAAUUGGCUGCCUGGUAGAGGUUGGACAUGAGACUGUGGUUGUGCUCAGGGCACAUACAGAUCUGAAUGGAGCUGGACCGGUUGCUUCCAGACUGGAAAAAAUGAUUUACGAAUUCUGGAAAAGACUUCCAGAACACUGCCACUGAAGUCACGCGAGAAAACACAACAAUGCCAUUUUUUAUUCUAUUUUGGUGCUUGCUGUGGUCAAAAACUAAGCAACUGCGGCAUUACCCUCAGUGCUACAUUGUAAAUGGUUAACAAGUUUGGCUUGUGUCCAUCUUGUAGCCUGCUUAUCACACUGUUUUCAACACAAUAUUAGUCACAAGGAGCAGCUAGGUUAGCUAACGUUAGCUUGUUAGCCACAGGGCUAACUACUGUACUUGCUUAAGAGAUAGCUUGCUGUUGCUCGCUCCUGUUUGUUAAAUACCAUUAGUUAGCUUAUUGGCAAACCCCUGGUUGCGUCGUUAUUGUUACAAAUACCUCUAGUACAAACCAUGGAAAACGUCAGAUGCAAAGGUCAGUUUACUGGAGGAAAAUAACGUCAUAAACGACUGACACGUGACCACAGUAUUCAAAAUUCCACUAUCCAGACAUCAGAGGAAGGGCAAGAAGGAGAAAGCGCUGGUACUGUUUUUGUCCAGCCAUCUGCAGCGAGAAAGUUGUGCUGGGCAGGAAGCGCUUACAUUUAUGCAGGCCUGGAGAGAAAGCCCCAACUGCUGAUGCACCUGGAGAACUAUGUGAACAAGGAGCUGCAUACUAUCAGCCCCAAUGAGCCAAAAUUCCAGGAACUGAAGCU